This 254-nucleotide ribosomal RNA is filed under the name uncultured bacterium. Its description in RNAcentral is "partial 16S ribosomal RNA". It matches the Rfam family "Bacterial small subunit ribosomal RNA", at positions 524 to 776 of the family's 1533-position model. The record is from RNAcentral.
UACAGAGGGGGCAAGCGUUGUUCGGAAUUACUGGGCGUAAAGGGCGCGUAGGCGGCCUGUUAAGUCGAACGUGAAAUCCCCGGGCUCAACCCGGGAACUGCGUCCGAUACUGGCAGGCUUGAAUCCGGGAGAGGGAUGCGGAAUUCCAGGUGUAGCGGUGAAAUGCGUAGAUAUCGGGAGGAACACCUGUGGGCGAAAGCGGCGCACUGGACCACAACUGACGCUGAGGCGCGAAAGCUAGGGGAGCAAACAGG